This is a long non-coding RNA of Pygocentrus nattereri (red-bellied piranha), 222 nucleotides long. RefSeq lists it as uncharacterized. The transcript has 3 exons. NCBI's taxonomy places the organism in Eukaryota, Metazoa, Chordata, Actinopteri, Characiformes, Serrasalmidae. The record is from RefSeq and is a predicted model, not a curated record.
ACCAGCUAUAACCGAAUCCGAAGAAGGGACUCUUUCCUCAAAUAACGUAUCUCUUUAUCACUUCAGCUGGAUAUGGGAUUCAGUUUCUGUUGGAUUUGCGGUUUCAGGGCAUUAAGAUGGCCAUGAAUUAAUGAAGAACACAGAGGUAAUUAAAAGUGGUAGCGACGGGCUCCUCUGGGCUUUUUUUUCGAGGGACUGCAGGUUGCUACGUGUGCUACGGGC